This 321-nucleotide ribosomal RNA is filed under the name Arthrobacter sp. Its description in RNAcentral is "bacterial SSU rRNA". It matches the Rfam family "Bacterial small subunit ribosomal RNA", at positions 831 to 1151 of the family's 1533-position model. The record is from RNAcentral. Lineage: Bacteria; Bacillati; Actinomycetota; Actinomycetes; Micrococcales; Micrococcaceae.
UCCACGUUUUCCGCGCCGUAGCUAACGCAUUAAGUGCCCCGCCUGGGGAGUACGGCCGCAAGGCUAAAACUCAAAGGAAUUGACGGGGGCCCGCACAAGCGGCGGAGCAUGCGGAUUAAUUCGAUGCAACGCGAAGAACCUUACCAAGGCUUGACAUGGACCGGACCGCCGCAGAAAUGUGGUUUCCCCUUUGGGGCCGGUUCACAGGUGGUGCAUGGUUGUCGUCAGCUCGUGUCGUGAGAUGUUGGGUUAAGUCCCGCAACGAGCGCAACCCUCGUUCCAUGUUGCCAGCGCGUAAUGGCGGGGACUCAUGGGAGACUG